GGGGUUAUAGCUCAGUAGUAGAGCACUUGCCUAGCAUGCAUGAGGCACUGGGUUCGAUCCCCAGCACCA
Molecule: transfer RNA, 69 nt
Filed under: Ictidomys tridecemlineatus (thirteen-lined ground squirrel)
Lineage: Eukaryota; Metazoa; Chordata; Mammalia; Rodentia; Sciuridae
Description: Spermophilus tridecemlineatus (thirteen-lined ground squirrel) tRNA
Rfam family: tRNA
About the family: Transfer RNA (tRNA) molecules are approximately 80 nucleotides in length. Their secondary structure includes four short double-helical elements and three loops (D, anti-codon, and T loops). Further hydrogen bonds mediate the characteristic L-shaped molecular structure. tRNAs have two regions of fundamental functional importance: the anti-codon, which is responsible for specific mRNA codon recognition, and the 3' end, to which the tRNAs corresponding amino acid is attached (by aminoacyl-tRNA synthetases). tRNAs cope with the degeneracy of the genetic code in two manners: having more than one tRNA (with a specific anti-codon) for a particular amino acid; and 'wobble' base-pairing, i.e. permitting non-standard base-pairing at the 3rd anti-codon position.
Source: Rfam by way of RNAcentral